GGUCCCAUAGCUCAAAUGGAUAGAGCAGCGGUUUCCUAAACCGUAGAUCCCAGUUCGAUUCUGGGUGGGGCCA
This 73-nucleotide transfer RNA is filed under the name Blastochloris sp. RNAcentral's name for it is "tRNA-Arg". It matches the Rfam family "tRNA". From Rfam's summary of the family: Transfer RNA (tRNA) molecules are approximately 80 nucleotides in length. The record is from RNAcentral. Lineage: Bacteria; Pseudomonadati; Pseudomonadota; Alphaproteobacteria; Hyphomicrobiales; Blastochloridaceae.